ACAAACAAACAAACAAACAAACAAAAACACGAUCCCAGUACUGUUUGUAGUUGAAGUGCAAAUGACAGUUUAUUCCAGGUAAAGAACAAGGUGUACACAAAAAGACGUCACAGCGCGUUCAGGUCUCCAAGACACUGCAUACAGACUGCGUGCAGACUGCGUAGAUCCUGAAGAUCCACGUCCACAAUACACAUAAAAAUAAAAAAAAGAAUACACAUUGUAAGAUUAAAAAUAUAGGAAUGUAUUCAACUUGUCACAACCCCCUGUGCCGAAAGUGAUCAAAGACUAUUGUUACAGCUGUUUAUCCAAUACAGUGGGGGUUAAAGGUGGUCUUCUGAUUGGUCAGUUUGAAUGUAUUAUGUUGGGUUUGGUCAAGUACAGUGGGGGUUAAAGGUGGUCUUCUGAUUGGUCAGUUUGAAUGUAUUAUGUUGGGUUUGGUCAAGUACAGUGGGGGUUAAAGGUUAUCUUCUGAUUGGUCAAUUUGAAUGUAUCAAGUUAGGCUUAGUCACAUGGUCAAGAGAUAGAGGAUAAAGGUCAAGGUUUUUAUGAGCUCUGGGCCUUUGCAUUUUAGCUUUUGCCUUGCAUUGGCCUUUUUCCCUUUCCUUUCUUUCUUCGCCUAAGUUCUGGGGUUCGGGCCAUUAGGCCUAGAUUUCAGUUCUCAAGUGUGAAGCUCUUUCUUCUAAACUUUCUUUCUCUGUUCUCUAUCUUAUCAGGUAAUAUCUCACAUACAUUGGAAACAGUCAAUUGUUUGUAUUAUUUACCAUUUCAUGCAUUUAUAGUGUAACCAUUUCAACUGUAACUUUAAGUCAGUACUGUAAUUAAACUUUUUCAUUUACAAAUCUGUUGUUUAGUUUUGAUUUAGAGUUAAUACUUAAACGCUCCAUAUUGCAAUACAAUAUAUUUGUACUCUAGCAACGCUCUCAGACAUAUUGUGUCCGAAACCGGGGAACGAUUGCAGUUUUGUUCUCCUUCCGAAACCUGAGAUCCCUUACACACACUCGUAAAUAUAUUACAUAUAUACACUAAACUUCAAACAACAUACAACAAAUAUUACCAUAUUCAAGUUGGCCAUAAAGAUGCGAUUGUCUGUGUAAACGUGUGUGUGUAUGUGUGUGUAUGUGGCAAGAAUCACCAGGCAACUAACCCGAAUCCGUAGAUAGGCAUGCGUAGGGCUACCAAGCCAACGGAAACAUUCCCUUAGAUCCUCUUUCACAAAUGCCGUUUUAGAUCCUUUGCAAACACAUCUGAAACUAAACUUCGUGUCGCUAUGAUCUUCGAAAUCCAAACUCGGCAUGUACACAGAACCAAACACUCCGUCUCACAGCAGGCAGACCACACAGGUGACACACAGGCAAUAGAAGAGACUAUGGCGCAGCACUUCCGGAUGCGUGUGUCUCCCUUUCAUACCCUAUCGUCCUCUACUUCCGGUUCAUGGAGUAGUUCCCGGGUUAGAAAAAGCUAUUUUUUUUCCUUAGUGCUACAGUGUGAAAAAAUAAAUAAAUUGUGGCAAAUUUGCUGUACUGCCACAGCUUACUGCUACUAACUUUGUGCCUCCUUCUGUUUAUAGGCAAUGUUUUUAUUGUUGAAUUUCUAGCAACCCAAGAGGUUGAAGUGGUACCAGCAGUCUUGAGUUCAAGAUGAUGAAAUGUGCCAAUGGCCAUCUCACUAUAAAUCAGAUGAAUUAAUAAAAUCAAUACAACGUGAGGAAAAGCCUGGACACACAUGGGAUACAUAUCAUGUCAGAAUUUUAUACACAGCAGAACUGUGGCUCGAGAGAAACUUUGACUGUACCUGUGUGGUGUUGCUGGCUGGCAUCGGCCACCUCUUGCUCUCCAGGUGCCCAGUAAAUCCUGCUGCCCUUUUGUUUGGCAAAGCCACGGAGGAUAUUUAUGUUCCCGUUAUUAUCUGAGAUCUGAAGACGUUUCUGUUAUUUGUCCUUUGUAAUUGCUUAUUGGCUUUCCUGUGGCAAGCUAUUAAAUUACAUUGACUGCUAUCACUGCUUUUGGGUCCUUUCUACUCCUUAACAGAAUUCACAGAAUUUUUAUUUAUCUUAAGAGAGAAGUAUUUUUUAUAAAAAUGGGAACAUAGCAGCUAAAAUGAUUAAAGUAUUUUCACUAAAAUUGGCUAACUUGGAUCACAGCAUAAUGCAUCC
This is a non-coding RNA of Misgurnus anguillicaudatus (oriental weatherfish), 2152 nucleotides long. NCBI's taxonomy places the organism in Eukaryota, Metazoa, Chordata, Actinopteri, Cypriniformes, Cobitidae. The record is from RefSeq and is a predicted model, not a curated record.